This 21-nucleotide small nuclear RNA is filed under the name Arabidopsis thaliana (thale cress). Its description in RNAcentral is "snRNA_13863". Lineage: Eukaryota; Viridiplantae; Streptophyta; Magnoliopsida; Brassicales; Brassicaceae. The record is from RNAcentral.
CACCUGUUGAAUAAUUAAAAA